GAUGAACGCUGACAGAAUGCUUAACACAUGCAAGUCUACUUGAACUUCGGUUUGGGUGGCGGACGGGUGAGUAACGCGUAAAGAACUUGCCUCACAGAUAGGGACAACAUUUGGAAACGAAUGCUAAUACCUGAUAUUAUGAUUUUAGGGCAUCCUAGAAUUAUGAAAGCUAUAUGCACUGUGAGAGAGCUUUGCGUCCCAUUAGCUAGUUGGAGAGGUAACGGCUCACCAAGGCGAUGAUGGGUAGCCGGCCUGAGAGGGUGAUCGGCCACAAGGGGACUGAGACACGGCCCGUACUCCUACGGGGGGCAGCAGUGGGAAAUAUUGGACAAUGGACCAAGAGUCUGAUCCAGCAAUUCUGUGUGCACGAUGAAGUUUUUCGGAAUGUAAAGUGCUUUCAGUUGAGAAGAAAAAAAUGACGGUACCAACAGAAGAAGUGACGGCUAAAUACGUG
RNAcentral lists this ribosomal RNA (454 nucleotides) under uncultured bacterium. Its description in RNAcentral is "partial 16S ribosomal RNA". It matches the Rfam family "Bacterial small subunit ribosomal RNA", at positions 28 to 507 of the family's 1533-position model. The record is from RNAcentral.